This 484-nucleotide ribosomal RNA is filed under the name uncultured bacterium. RNAcentral describes it as "partial 16S ribosomal RNA". It matches the Rfam family "Bacterial small subunit ribosomal RNA", at positions 28 to 523 of the family's 1533-position model. The record is from RNAcentral.
GACGAACGCUGGCGGCGUGCUUAACACAUGCAAGUCGAACGAUGAACCUGGAGCUUGCUCCGGCGGAUUAGUGGCGAACGGGUGAGUAACACGUGAGUAACCUGCCCUUGACUCUGGGAUAACUGCGGGAAACUGUAGCUAAUACCGGAUACGACCCUCGGCGGCAUCGCCAGGGGGUGGAAAGAAUUCCGGUCAAGGAUGGACUCGCGGCCUAUCAGCUAGUUGGUGAGGUAACGGCUCACCAAGGCGACGACGGGUAGCCGGCCUGAGAGGGUGACCGGCCACACUGGGACUGAGACACGGCCCAGACUCCUACGGGAGGCAGCAGUGGGGAAUAUUGCACAAUGGGCGCAAGCCUGGUGCAGCAACGCCGCGUGAGGGAUGACGGCCUUCGGGUUGUAAACCUCUUUUAGUAGGGAAGAAGCGAAAGUGACGGUACCUGCAGAAAAAGCACCGGCUAACUACGUGCCAGCAGCCGCAGUAA